CCUACGGGUGGCAGCAGUGGGGAAUAUUGGACAAUGGGGGCAACCCUGAUCCAGCCAUGCCGCGUGUGUGAAGAAGGCCCUCGGGUUGUAAAGCACUUUCAGUGAGGAAGAACGCCUGGUGGUUAAUACCCAUCAGGAAAGACAUCACUCACAGAAGAAGCACCGGCUAACUCCGUGCCAGCAGCCGCGGUAAUACGGAGGGUGCGAGCGUUAAUCGGAAUUACUGGGCGUAAAGCGCGCGUAGGUGGCUUGAUAAGCCGGUUGUGAAAGCCCCGGGCUCAACCUGGGAACGGCAUCCGGAACUGUCAAGCUAGAGGGCAGGAGAGGAAGGUAGAAUUCCCGGUGUAGCGGUGAAAUGCGUAGAGAUCGGGAGGAAUACCAGUGGCGAAGGCGGCCUUGUGGACUGACACUGACACUGAGGUGCGAAAGCGUGGGUAGCAAACAGGAUUAGAUACCCCAGUAGUC
This 465-nucleotide ribosomal RNA is filed under the name Vreelandella stevensii. Its description in RNAcentral is "partial 16S ribosomal RNA". It matches the Rfam family "Bacterial small subunit ribosomal RNA", at positions 338 to 795 of the family's 1533-position model. The record is from RNAcentral. Lineage: Bacteria; Pseudomonadati; Pseudomonadota; Gammaproteobacteria; Oceanospirillales; Halomonadaceae.